CGGGGACAGAGGCCGAGAGUGGGGGCAGCUUGGUUGAGAAGCAGCAGCAGGCGGAUGUGGCGUGGUCAUUCAACACACAUUGACUGACGAGCUGCGGGAACAAGAAUGCCUGCCCCGUGGCGUGGCCAGCACUGCCCAAUGAAGUUCCUACAGGGAUGUAAACAUUCUCUACCCAUGCAACCACCUACAUGUGGCUAGGAGCACCUGAAAUAGGAACUGAAUUUUAAAUUUAAAUUCCAUUUAAAUGGAAGCAGCCAGGUGGGCUACAUAAUAAUGGAUGACACCACCAGCAGCAGCAGGUCUACCCAUGGUGUUAUCGUUGCUGUCUUCCUGCCUUUCCUACCAAGUCCAAGCUGGGGGUGGAGGCCAGGAAGAGGGCAAGGGAGACUGGAGACUCUGAAAAGAGAGGGAAAGUGGGAAGAGUAAUUUAAAAAUAACCUUUUGUGGCCGGGUGCCGUGGCUCACACCUGUAAUCCCAGCACUUUGGGAGGCCCAGGUGUGUGGAUCACCUGAAGUCAGCAGUUCGAGACCAGCCUGACCGACAUGGCGAAACCCCGUCUACUAAAAAUACAAAAAUUAGCUGGCGUGGUGGUGCACACCUCUAAUCCCAGCUACCUGGGAGGCUGAGGCAGGAGAAUUGCUCCAACCCAGGAAACAGAGGUUGCAGUAAGCCAAGAUCGCACCACUGUACUCCAGCCUGAGUGACAGCGUGAGAUUCCAUCUCAAAAAAAAAAUAAAUAACCAAAAAUGAGUUGGGCGUGGUGGCGCGCACCUGUAAUCCCAGCUACUCGGGAGGCUGAGACAGGAGAAAUGCUUGAACCCAGGAGGCGGAGAUUGCAGUGAGCUGAGACUGUGUCACUGCACUCCAGCCUGAGCGACAGAGUAAGACUCUGUCUCAAAAAAAAAAAGAAAAGAAAAAAAAGAAGUUACCUUUUGUACAUUUUCCAAGCCGACUAUGGUGAACAUAUAACUGAAGAAAACAUUAAAAGUUGUAAAAAUAAAAAUAA
Long non-coding RNA from Gorilla gorilla gorilla (western lowland gorilla), 1007 nucleotides. RefSeq lists it as uncharacterized. NCBI's taxonomy places the organism in Eukaryota, Metazoa, Chordata, Mammalia, Primates, Hominidae. The transcript is spliced from 2 exons. The record is from RefSeq and is a predicted model, not a curated record.